UACGUAGGGAGCGAGCGUUGUCCGGAUUUAUUGGGCGUAAAGCGAGCGUAGGCGGUUAGGUAAGUCGGGUGUGAAACCUCCAAGCUCAACUUGGAGCGGCCAUUCGAAACUACCUUGACUUGAGUCUGGUAGGGGAACACGGAAUUCCUGGUGUAGCGGUGAAAUGCUUAGAUAUCAGGAGGAACACCAGUGGCGAAGGCGGUGUUCUGGGCCAGUACUGACGCUGAUGCUCGAAAGCGUGGGGAGCGAACAGG
Molecule: ribosomal RNA, 254 nt
Filed under: uncultured bacterium
Lineage: Bacteria
Description: partial 16S ribosomal RNA
Rfam family: Bacterial small subunit ribosomal RNA
Source: RNAcentral